RNAcentral lists this ribosomal RNA (253 nucleotides) under uncultured bacterium. RNAcentral describes it as "partial 16S ribosomal RNA". It matches the Rfam family "Bacterial small subunit ribosomal RNA", at positions 524 to 776 of the family's 1533-position model. The record is from RNAcentral.
UACAGAGGGUGCGAGCGUUAAUCGGAAUUACUGGGCGUAAAGCGCGCGUAGGCGGCUUUGCAAGCCGGAUGUGAAAUCCCCGGGCUCAACCUGGGAACUGCAUUUGUGACUGCAAGGCUAGAGUACGGUAGAGGGGGAUGGAAUUCCGCGUGUAGCAGUGAAAUGCGUAGAUAUGCGGAGGAACACCGAUGGCGAAGGCAAUCCCCUGGACCUGUACUGACGCUCAUGCACGAAAGCGUGGGGAGCAAACAGG